UUGUCCUACGGGAGGCAGCAGUGGGGAAUAUUGCACAAUGGGGGAAACCCUGAUGCAGCGACGCCGCGUGAGCGAUGAAGUAUUUCGGUAUGUAAAGCUCUCUCAGCAGGGAAGAAAAUGACGGUACCUGACUAAGAAGCCCCGUCUAACUACGUGCCAGCAGCCGCGGUAAUACGUAGGGGGCAAGCGUUAUCCGGAUUUACUGGGUGUAAAGUGAGCGUAGACGGUUCUGCAAGCCAGAUGUGAAAGCCCAGGGCUCAACCCC
RNAcentral lists this ribosomal RNA (265 nucleotides) under uncultured bacterium. RNAcentral's name for it is "partial 16S ribosomal RNA". It matches the Rfam family "Bacterial small subunit ribosomal RNA", at positions 334 to 616 of the family's 1533-position model. The record is from RNAcentral.